Molecule: ribosomal RNA, 450 nt
Filed under: uncultured bacterium
Lineage: Bacteria
Description: partial 16S ribosomal RNA
Rfam family: Bacterial small subunit ribosomal RNA
Source: RNAcentral
GUGGGGAAUUUUGGACAAUGGGCGCAAGCCUGAUCCAGCAAUGCCGCGUGCAGGAAGAAGGCCUUCGGGUUGUAAACUGCUUUUGUACGGAACGAAACGGUCCUGGCUAAUAUCCGGGGCUAAUGACGGUACCGUAAGAAUAAGCACCGGCUAACUACGUGCCAGCAGCCGCGGUAAUACGUAGGGUGCGAGCGUUAAUCGGAAUUACUGGGCGUAAAGCGUGCGCAGGCGGUGCUGUAAGACAGGCGUGAAAUCCCCGGGCUCAACCUGGGAAUUGCGCUUGUGACUGCAGGGCUGGAGUGCGGCAGAGGGGGAUGGAAUUCCGCGUGUAGCAGUGAAAUGCGUAGAUAUGCGGAGGAACACCGAUGGCGAAGGCAAUCCCCUGGGCCUGCACUGACGCUCAUGCACGAAAGCGUGGGGAGCAAACAGGAUUAGAUACCCCAGUAGUCC